CGUAGGGACCGAGCGUUGUCCGGAUUCAUUGGGCGUAAAGAGCUCGUAGGCGGCCACUCAAGUCGAAUGUGAAACCUCGAGGCUUAACCUCGAGCCUGCAUUCGAUACUGGGCGGCUAGAGUCUGGUAGGGGGAUCUGGAAUUCCUGGUGUAGCGGUGGAAUGCGCAGAUAUCAGGAGGAACACCGGUGGCGAAGGCGGGAUCCUGGGCCAGUACUGACGCUGAGGAGCGAAAGCGUGGGGAGCAAACAGGAUUAGAUACCCUGGUAGUCCACGCCGUAAACGAUGGGCGCCAGGUGUGGGAGGUCAUCGACUCCUUCCGUGCCGCAGCUAACGCAUUAAGCGCCCCGCCUGGGGAGUACGGCCGCAAGGCUA
Molecule: ribosomal RNA, 373 nt
Filed under: uncultured organism
Description: bacterial SSU rRNA
Rfam family: Bacterial small subunit ribosomal RNA
Source: RNAcentral